AAUUUCUUGGGCGUGCCCAUGUCGGGGGUCGUGUGUCAUAACGUUUAAUCGUAUAGACGUGCGCCCUGGCUGCAUCCUUGUCUAUUGCGUACUAUUUGUUUCCUCGGCGGGCUUGCUCGCCGAUUGGACAACUAUUAUACUCUUUUGUAAUUGUAAUCAGCGUCUGAGUAAACUAUAAUAGUUA
Molecule: unclassified non-coding RNA, 184 nt
Filed under: uncultured Pleosporales
Lineage: Eukaryota; Fungi; Ascomycota; Dothideomycetes; Pleosporales
Source: RNAcentral